GGCCGGCUAGCGUAAUGGUUAACGCGUUUGACUUCGAUCAAGAAUAUCAAAAGAUUGCAGGUUCGAGUCCUGCGUCGGUCA
Sistotremastrum niveocremeum HHB9708 is the source of this 81-nucleotide transfer RNA. It matches the Rfam family "tRNA". From Rfam's summary of the family: Transfer RNA (tRNA) molecules are approximately 80 nucleotides in length. Their secondary structure includes four short double-helical elements and three loops (D, anti-codon, and T loops). Further hydrogen bonds mediate the characteristic L-shaped molecular structure. tRNAs have two regions of fundamental functional importance: the anti-codon, which is responsible for specific mRNA codon recognition, and the 3' end, to which the tRNAs corresponding amino acid is attached (by aminoacyl-tRNA synthetases). tRNAs cope with the degeneracy of the genetic code in two manners: having more than one tRNA (with a specific anti-codon) for a particular amino acid; and 'wobble' base-pairing, i.e. permitting non-standard base-pairing at the 3rd anti-codon position. Lineage: Eukaryota; Fungi; Basidiomycota; Agaricomycetes; Sistotremastrales; Sistotremastraceae. The record is from Rfam.